GACGAACGCUGGCGGCGUGCCUAAUACAUGCAAGUAGAACGCUGAAGGAGGAGCUUGCUUCUCUGGAUGAGUUGCGAACGGGUGAGUAACGCGUAGGUAACCUGCCUGGUAGCGGGGGAUAACUAUUGGAAACGAUAGCUAAUACCGCAUAACAGUAGAUGUUGCAUGACAUUUGCUUAAAAGGUGCAAUUGCAUCACUACCAGAUGGACCUGCGAUGUAUUAGCUAGUUGGUGGGGUAACGGCUCACCAAGGCGACGAUACAUAGCCGACCUGAGAGGGUGAUCGGCCACACUGGGACUGAGACACGGCCCAGACUCCUACGGGAGGCAGCAGUAGGGAAUCUUCGGCAAUGGACGGAAGUCUGACCGAGCAACGCCGCGUGAGUGAAGAAGGUUUUCGGAUCGUAAAGCUCUGUUGUAAGAGAAGAACAGGUGUGAGAGUGGAAAGUUC
This 451-nucleotide ribosomal RNA is filed under the name Streptococcus mitis. RNAcentral describes it as "bacterial SSU rRNA". It matches the Rfam family "Bacterial small subunit ribosomal RNA", at positions 28 to 465 of the family's 1533-position model. The record is from RNAcentral. Lineage: Bacteria; Bacillati; Bacillota; Bacilli; Lactobacillales; Streptococcaceae.